GACGAACGCUGGCGGCGUGCUUAACACAUGCAAGUCGAGCGGAAAGGCCACUUCGGUGGUACUCGAGCGGCGAACGGGUGCGUAACACGUGAGUAAUCUGCCCUUGGCUUUGGGAUAGCCACCGGAAACGGUGAUUAAUACCGGAUACGAUCACUUCUCGCAUGGCAGGGUGGUGGAAAGCUGUUCGGCCAGGGAUGUGCUCGCGCCCUAUCAGCUUGAUGGUGAGGUAAUGGCUCACCAUGGCUUCGACGGGUAGCGGGCCUGAGAGGGUGACCGGUCACACGGGGACUGAGACACGUCCCAGACUCCUACGGGAGGCAGCAGUGGGUAAUAUUGGACAAUGGGCGGAAGCCUGAUCCAGCAACGCCGCGUGAGGGAUGACGGCCUUCGGGUUGUAAACCUCUUUCGGUGGGGACGAAGCGCAAGUGACGGUACCCACUAAAGAAGCACCGGCCAACUACGUGCCAGCCGCCGCCGUAA
This 480-nucleotide ribosomal RNA is filed under the name uncultured bacterium. RNAcentral describes it as "partial 16S ribosomal RNA". It matches the Rfam family "Bacterial small subunit ribosomal RNA", at positions 28 to 523 of the family's 1533-position model. The record is from RNAcentral.